RNAcentral lists this ribosomal RNA (253 nucleotides) under uncultured bacterium. RNAcentral describes it as "partial 16S ribosomal RNA". It matches the Rfam family "Bacterial small subunit ribosomal RNA", at positions 524 to 776 of the family's 1533-position model. The record is from RNAcentral.
UACGGGGGGGGCAAGCGUUGUUCGGAAUUACUGGGCGUAAAGGGCGCGUAGGCGGGGGGACAAGUCUCUAGUGAAAGCCCACGGCUCAACCGUGGAAUUGCGGGAGAUACUGUCUGUCUUGAGUCCGGGAGAGGAGGGUGGGAUUUCCAGUGUAGCGGUGAAAUGCGUAGAUAUUGGGAGGAACACCGGUGGCGAAGGCGGCUCUCUGGACCGGUACUGACGAUGAGGCGCGAAAGCUAGGGGAGCAAACGGG